This 356-nucleotide ribosomal RNA is filed under the name uncultured bacterium. Its description in RNAcentral is "bacterial SSU rRNA". It matches the Rfam family "Bacterial small subunit ribosomal RNA", at positions 335 to 679 of the family's 1533-position model. The record is from RNAcentral.
ACUCCUACGGGAGGCAGCAGUGGGGAAUAUUGGACAAUGGGCGCAAGCCUGAUCCAGCCAUGCCGCGUGUGUGAAGAAGGCCCUCGGGUUGUAAAGCACUUUCAGUGAGGAAGAAAGCUUGUCGGUUAAUACCCGGCAAGGACGACAUCACUCACAGAAGAAGCACCGGCUAACUCCGUGCCAGCAGCCGCGGUAAUACGGAGGGUGCGAGCGUUAAUCGGAAUUACUGGGCGUAAAGCGUACGCAGGCGGUUUGUUAAGCGAGAUGUGAAAGCCCCGGGCUCAAGCCUGGGAACUGGCAUUUCGAACUGGCAAAUCUAGAGUGAUGAUAGAGGGUGGUAGAAUUUCAGGUGUAGC